AGACGUUUGACAACACUCUGGGACCUAGUUUGGAAUGCAAUUUCUCUUUGAGAAUUAAAACCAUAAACCUGUACUUUGUCCCUAUUUUAUCAACAAACAAGAUCAAUUGACAAUUACUCACCGAGAUAGACUUUUCCCAUGUCUAUAUUGGUCCAUUUUCACUGUCAUACAA
Molecule: small nucleolar RNA, 172 nt
Filed under: Torulaspora delbrueckii CBS 1146
Lineage: Eukaryota; Fungi; Ascomycota; Saccharomycetes; Saccharomycetales; Saccharomycetaceae
Description: Small nucleolar RNA snR80
Rfam family: Small nucleolar RNA snR80
Source: Rfam by way of RNAcentral